Non-coding RNA from Phrynosoma platyrhinos (Desert horned lizard), 72 nucleotides. NCBI's taxonomy places the organism in Eukaryota, Metazoa, Chordata, Lepidosauria, Squamata, Phrynosomatidae. The record is from the annotation of a GenBank genome assembly.
GGCAGCAUGGUGUAGUGGUUUUUGUAUUAGACUUGGAUGCUGGAGACCAGGGUUUGAAUCCCUGCUCAGCAG